Helianthus annuus (common sunflower) is the source of this 960-nucleotide long non-coding RNA. RefSeq lists it as uncharacterized. Lineage: Eukaryota; Viridiplantae; Streptophyta; Magnoliopsida; Asterales; Asteraceae. The transcript is spliced from 3 exons. The record is from RefSeq and is a predicted model, not a curated record.
GAAAACAAAGUAUAUAAAAGGCCCGAGUUGACGGGACUCGAAAUAUAAAGGAUAGGGAAACACCCCAAAGAUAUAUAGGUUUCGUACAUAUAUAUUAAAUAUCGGUUAUGAACAAGAUAAAAUAAUUAGGAAGUAAAUAACCUAGUUAAAUUACAAGUCUUGUAGUAAUAAAGAAAUUGGUUAAAAUACACUCAAUGUAACUUGGGUGAAUUAGAGGGGCCAUAAGGGACAAACUAGAAACAAGUUUUAAUUAAAUAAAACUCUCUACACCAAAACACACACCUUGAGUGUGUGUUCUGGUCGAUGUCUUCCACAGGGGCAAAGGAAGUUCCUUUGUUCAACCCUAACUUGCCUAAAUCCAAGAAAUUGAGAGGCCAAAUCAGUCCCAAAUCGAAAUCCAAGCUCGUAUUCAUGAACACCAAGUUGAAAGGAUCACAAGGUGGAAGCUUGGAGUGAAAGCGGGUCAAACAAGUCAAGCAUGGAAGAAAAGCGUAGCUCGGAUGCAAGGUAAGUGAAACUUACAUAAUUGUGUAGAUUACUUGUUCAUUCUAUACGUUAUAGAUGCAAUAAUGCUAAUAUUGAAAAUAUGGAUUUCCGACGUGAUUGAUACGAGUCGGAACAUAUAAAGAUGAUAAAAACCAUGGUUUAUGGCAAAAAGGGGAUUUGAUAAUGAAAUCCGGGACGGGAUGGAUGUAUGAAUUAGAAGUCAAAAACCAUGUUUUUGAUUUAAUAGGCAACGUUGGGCAUAUAGGCCGAACGGGUCAAAUGGUGGUGAUAACACUAUUUGACAAUAUCGACUAAUGCGAUUGUCAAGUCUUGUGUUAACAGGAGCGAUUAGCGAUUCAGUUAAUUUCGCCCACACUAAGUGUGAUGAUAAAAGCGAGGUAUAAAUUGGGUCUAUAUGUUGACCCUAGCCAGGUGCUUUCUGGGAUGCCGGAGGACGAUCAAGCUCAGCGAAGA